AACGGCCGUACCAUGCUGAAUAUACCGGUUCUCGUUAGAUCACCGAAGUUAAGCAUUAUUGGGCGCGGUCAGUACUUGGAUGGGUGACCACCUGGGAACACUGCGUGCCGUU
RNAcentral lists this ribosomal RNA (112 nucleotides) under Caerostris darwini. Lineage: Eukaryota; Metazoa; Arthropoda; Arachnida; Araneae; Araneidae. The record is from RNAcentral.